CCUACGGGUGGCAGCAGUGAGGAAUAUUGGUCAAUGGGCGGAAGCCUGAACCAGCCAAGUCGCGUGAGGGAUUAAGGCCCUGCGGGUUGUAAACUUCUUUUAUAAAGGAAUAAAACGAGGCACGUGUGCCUUUUUGCAUGUACUUUAUGAAUAAGGAUCGGCUAACUCCGUGCCAGCAGCCGCGGUAAUACGGAGGAUCCGAGCGUUAUCCGGAUUUAUUGGGUUUAAAGGGAGCGUAGAUGGGUUGUUAAGUAAGUUGUGAAAGUUUGCGGCUCAACCGUAAAAUUGCAAUUGAUACUGGCAGUCUUGAGUACAGUUGAGGUAGGCGGAAUUCGUGGUGUAGCGGUGAAAUGCUUAGAGAUCACGAAGAACCCCGAUUGCGAAGGCAGCUUACUAAACUGUGACUGACAUUGAUGCUCGAAAGUGUGGGUAUCAAACAGGAUUAGAUACCCGAGUAGUC
Molecule: ribosomal RNA, 460 nt
Filed under: uncultured bacterium
Lineage: Bacteria
Description: partial 16S ribosomal RNA
Rfam family: Bacterial small subunit ribosomal RNA
Source: RNAcentral